GCUCAACCAAUUUCCAAGAAUAUAAGGUAGCUAGUAUUGAAUUGUUGCAUAUGCUAGGUGCAUGGAUGUAAUAACUCAAGAAAUAAAGAUGAUACUCGAAGUCGUAAGCGUCCUUCUGCCAUAACGUACCAUGCAAUCCGAGAAUAUAUAAAGCUAGUUUUAAUUGAGGUUUUAUAAAAAAAAUUCAUGAGCAUGAAAUAAACUAUGUGGCAUAGUAUUAAUGAACAG
RNAcentral lists this long non-coding RNA (228 nucleotides) under Sorghum bicolor (sorghum). RNAcentral's name for it is "long non-coding RNA (SBIC_LNC002341)". Lineage: Eukaryota; Viridiplantae; Streptophyta; Magnoliopsida; Poales; Poaceae. The record is from RNAcentral.